GAUGAAGAACGUAGCGAAAUGCGAUAAGUAAUGUGAAUUGCAGAAUUCAGUGAAUCAUCGAGUCUUUGAACGCACAUUGCGCCCCCUGGUAUUCCGGGGGGCAUGCCUGUCCGAGCGUCAUUGCUGCCCUCAAGCACGGCUUGUGUGUUGGGCCCCCGUCCCCGGUUCUCCCCGGGGACGGGCCCGAAAGGCAGCGGCGGCACCGCGUCCGAUCCUCGAGCGUAUGGGGCUUUGUCACCCGCUCUGUAGGCCCGGCCGGCGCCAGCCGACACCCCUACUUUAUUUUCUAAGGUUGACCUCGGAUCAGGUAGGGAUACCCGCUGAACUUAAGCAUAUCAAUAAGCGGAGGA
This 350-nucleotide unclassified non-coding RNA is filed under the name soil metagenome. Its description in RNAcentral is "partial contains 5.8S ribosomal RNA, internal transcribed spacer 2, and large subunit ribosomal RNA". The stretch from base 1 to 120 matches the Rfam family "5.8S ribosomal RNA", at positions 35 to 154 of the family's 154-position model. The record is from RNAcentral.